RNAcentral lists this ribosomal RNA (255 nucleotides) under uncultured bacterium. RNAcentral's name for it is "partial 16S ribosomal RNA". It matches the Rfam family "Bacterial small subunit ribosomal RNA", at positions 523 to 776 of the family's 1533-position model. The record is from RNAcentral.
GUACGGGGGGGGCAAGCGUUGUUCGGAAUUAUUGGGCGUAAAGAGCUCGUAGGCGGUUUGUCGCGUCUGCCGUGAAAGUCCGGGGCUCAACUCCGGAUCUGCGGUGGGUACGGGCAGACUAGAGUGAUGUAGGGGAGACUGGAAUUCCUGGUGUAGCGGUGAAAUGCGCAGAUAUCAGGAGGAACACCGAUGGCGAAGGCAGGUCUCUGGGCAUUAACUGACGCUGAGGAGCGAAAGCAUGGGGGAGCGAACAGG